This 11635-nucleotide long non-coding RNA is filed under the name Malus domestica (apple). RNAcentral's name for it is "long non-coding RNA (MDOM_LNC010514)". Lineage: Eukaryota; Viridiplantae; Streptophyta; Magnoliopsida; Rosales; Rosaceae. The record is from RNAcentral.
GAGGCCCCAGUGGACAUCCCGGGUCGGGGUGUGUCACCGUUUCUGGGAAAGUUUGUCGUGAAGCCAUCGCUGGCGAUAGGGUGGGAAAAAAGGAAGAUUCAAGUAGUUGAAACACCAGUUUGUUGUAAGUAACCUACCUUUUUUGAAUUGUAGAUAAUAUGGGUUUAGGUUUUCCGAUUUUUCAAUUUUGAAUUUUAAGGAUUAGGGAUUUGUGAGUUCCAAUCCCAUUUUGUUUUCUAUGGUUUCUGGAAUUGUGUUUUGUAAUGGGUUUCCUGCAUUGUUAAUUGUUUUCAAUAUGCAUGUGGUUUUGUCUUCAUUCGUGAUCCCAAUUCCAGCCUAUAAAAAACCAUGUAUUCAUGGUCCCCAUGGUUUUGUUUUCACCUUUUUUCCUUAUAGUCCUACUAGUGUUUUGGGUUAACUUUUUGGGUUUUAAAACCUUGUUCCUUGACUUUGCAGGCAUGCCUGAAUUAUGUAGCCUUAAAAUUAACCAUGGUGGGAAGUGGUCUGAAAAUGCAUAUAUGGGAGGAUUUGAGGCUUGGUUUAAUUACGUAGACAAAGACUUCAUGUCUUUUUUUCGAGAUUGAUGAAAUGGUUAAGGAGUUAAGAUAUGAUGGAUUUAUAUUGUAUCAAUAUAGGAUUCCUGGGAUGUCUUAUAGGGGGGGAUUAAGGCUUAUUGAAUGGAACCAAGAUGUGGGUGAAAUGUGCAAGUAUGUUCUAGGAACUAGGGAAAUAGAAAUGUUCUAGAACAUCUAAGUCCGAAGCAAGCUGCCUUGAAACAUAAGCCUUUGAUGAAUCUAGAUAAGAGUGGCAUAUUAAAAAAAGUUGUCAUGAUAGAAGAUAUUAAGGAAUCAAGGGUGGCCAUUUCGAUUACAAAGGGAAGUGGAUCAGAACUGAAGAAGGGUAGAGCAAAAGGGGGUGUUGAUCACUUAGAAAAAUGGCUAUGUCUAUUGAAUGACACAGCUUUCAGUGGUGAUGAUGAACAUGAGGCUGAAGCAACUGAGGGAGGACAAUGAAGUGGAGAUGAGGCUGAAGAUGGUCCUCUCAAUGCUGAUAAUAAAGAUGAUGAAGAUGAUGAAGGUGAUGCAAUUGAAGAAGGUCACGAAGCUGAUAGGAGCAUAUUUAUGCGACUGAGUUAGGUUGUUCUCAUACAUUUAUGUUGUUAUUUCUUAGUUAAUUAUGUAUUUUAAGCUAUUUUCGUGUGUUUAUAGGUCCAUAGGCCUUAUAAAGCAAUAAGAUGCAUUUUGGUACAUUUUGGAGCAGUUUUGGGCUUGGAAUGAAUAGCACAUGCAUGAAGCAAGGUGGAUGGACGAAAUUGAAGACUAAAGAGGCUAGGAAUGUGUUAAAGAGAAAGAAGAAUUAGUGUAAAAAGGACAAAGAGCUCAGCCACAAAGGGGUGUCACUCCACCAUUCACCUUUCCAUCAUUGCCGUGCACCACCAUUGCACUCUCUUUGGAUUCCUAUACCGUGCAUCAUCAUCCAUGUUCCUUCCAUUGACUCAUUUGUUGCAUCAUUCCACUUCCUUUCCUUUGUCUACCAUAUACACAAUAUCCUUUCACCUCUUUGCACUCAUUUAUUCACCACUUACUCACCUUUCCACCCAUGCCAUGCAUAAUCACCCUUGUCCCCUUCAUGCACCAGAUUUCUUGCACUCAUUUCAUGCACCAUUACACUCAUUACACUUCAUUGCCGUGCACCACCCUUGUCUCCUUCAUUAUUUCUGAUUUCAUGCAUCAAUACAUUGAAUCAUUACACUCAAUUGCUGCACACUCCUUGUUCCCUUCACCCAUCAGAUUUCAUACAACUUUUACCUCCACUACAUGCACUCAUUGAUGCACCAUCCACCACCUUUGGAAUCCCAUGCCAUGCAUCAUGACAUUUGCUGCACCUUUGACUCAUUUCUGCACCAUUCCACCUCCAUUUCCUUUCUAUACCAUGUGCACAAUCAUUCAUGUUCCCUAGCUGCAACACCACUCCAUUUUACCCCCCAUGCUUUGCAUCAUUACUUCAUUUUCACCCUUGAAUCAUUGCACAAACCACCAAUUCACCUUCCUUGUCGUGCACUUCCUCUAUAAAAGGAAGUGUGUGUGGCAGCCAUAGAGCUUAGUUUUUGCUUGAUCAUUCAUCCCCAUUUCAGUACAACCUUCAUCCAAACACAUCCAUUCAUCUUUACAUCCAUUCCUCUAUACAACAACCUUCAAACACUCACCAACACCUUGUGCCGUAGCAAAGGAAGGGAAGGAAAGUGCUUGGACGUGCUUGCUGUCCAACUUGGAUUGUUGGAGCAUUUAGGUGUUUUCUUUCUUUUGUUUCUAAUGUUUAAAUUCAUUUCCUUUCGUUUUGUUGUAAAUAUGAGUGGCUAAACCCCUCUUGGCUAGGGGUGAUUUCAAAGCCAUGAUUAUGUGUGCAAUAUAAUUUGAUAAAUUCCAGUUAUGAGCUCUUGAAUUGUGAAUGCAAUUGGCUUAACUAUUUGAUUGAUAAAUUAUUUGUAUUUGUUAAUUAAGGGUCGACACUUAAUUGGCAUGCAUAAAUCCGUUGCUAGAAUAUAAGGAAGUUUCACAUAAUCGUUACAAACUUAUAUUCACAUGUAAUGAAGGUCGCUUAUAAACGAUCGCGUUAAGUUCAAUUCCUAGCAUGAGUGACAUGUUAUCAUAGUUGCAAGUGCUUUGUCAAUGCUUAUGAUUUUCAUUAAACGUAAUGGUCUUUGAUUAUAUCUCUAUUAUGAUGUCAUGUAGGGAACUUUUGAAGAAUGUUUUGGGUUGUCGAAUGAUGUCAUCCAAUCCAAUAAAACAAGGAAAAUCUGAGAGUUAACUAGUGAUGUCACGGUUAAUUUGGAGCAUUGUCAUUCAUAAUUCAAUGAAGUAGUAACUAGAAAUCGAGUUGUUUGCAUACAUAUCAUGUGUGGAGAAAAAGCCUCUAGCUAUCCCAUCCAUCAUCUUAUUUCUCAAAUUUGUUUUACAAUCUGUCUAGGUUUUCAAACUUGUUUGUUUGUUUCAACUUUGUCCAAAACUCAAUCCCCCUUUACUUUAGAGUGUCUAAUUAGUUAGAAUCUGUUUUAAUUUGUGUUUUUAAAUGUUUUGAUUCAAGUAAAAGUCAAUUUUCGUCCAAAGUCAUUCCGAGUGUCUAGUUUAAGUUUGUUUAGUUGUUUUAAGCUGUUUUGAGUAUUUUAAGUUUGCUUUGAGUCUUGUGAGUCUUGUUCAGUAUUUUAAAGUUUAGUUUUAUGUUUUUGAGUCAAUUUAGAGGUUAUUAGCAAGCCCUCAUAAUCCCCGGUCCAAAACGAUCCCUACUUAUACUUAUACUACAGUUGUCAAAAGAGGGUUAAAUUUGUGUGUUAAGUUAAUUUUCGCAUCAGAAGCUAAAGAAGUUAAUGAAGGGGUUGAAGUAGAAGCUAAUGAAAGUUUAGGUUUUUGCAAUUUUAAUUUCAGUAUUCAAUUAUUUUUGCAAAGUUUAGGUUUUUCACAAAUAUGCAUUGUUUGUGGCAGUAAAUGCAAAGGAUGACAUUACAGAUAGUGAGUUUGUGGACAGUGACUACAGUUUGGAAGAUGAUGAUGGUCGUGUAUUAGAUGAUACGGUUGUAGAAAGUGUCAUUGGAGAUGUUGACAGGGGUGAAGGGGUUAGGAACCAACAUCCAGAAGAAGUUAUUAAUAAUGCAAGGGAUGUAGAAGAUGUUCCCGUUGAUGAUAAGAGACAAGACUCAGAUGACUUGCACAGUGUUGACGAUUCAAGUUCAAAAUGUGAUGAGAAGAUCAUGUACUCUGAGUUCAAUGAAGAAGCCUACAUGGACGAUCCAAAUUUUGAAAAGGGAUUGAAGUUCAAAGAUGUUGCACAGUUGAGAAAGGUAGUGUGGUCUCACUUCAUUAAGCAUGGUGCACCUUCUAUUAAGCUAAAAAGGAAUGAGAAAUGGAAGAUUAGAGCAAAGUGUGAGAAAAACUAUCCAUGAAGAUUGUAUGCUUCCAAGAUGUACAAUGAAGAUUCAAUGCAAGUGAAAACCUAUGUUAGGAAACAUGAAUGUACGAGGAUUUGGAGGGAAAAUCCUAACUACAAAGUGGCAUGGCUUGUGAAGAGGUAUGUGGACAGGUUUAGACUCAACCUAAGCAUGCCUAUCACUACAUUUAUGGAGAUAGUGAAGGAAGAAAUAAUGGUUGAGAUCCACCCCAAGACAGCCUACAGAGUGAGAGCACAAUAUUUGAAAAUCCUUGAGAGGAGUAACGUGGAUCAGUACAAAAAGUUGUGGGAGUACUGUGAUGAGCUGAGGAGGAUAAACCUAGGUAGUACAGUUCAGAUGAAGGUGCUGCCCUAUGAUGAUGCUCAUGUGAUAUUUUAGAGGAUUUAUAUUUGUUUGGGGGCUUGCAAAAAUGGAUUUAAAAAUGGAUGUAGGUAGCUUGUAGGGUUGAAUGGUUGUCACUUGAAAGGAGUGUUCAAGAGCAAGUUACUGUCUGCAGUGAGAAUGGAUGCAAAUAACCAAACUUGGGCAGUUGGGUUUGGUUUAUAAAACUACUAGCUGAUGAUUUGGGAAUUGUGAACCAGCGUACUUAGACUUUCAUUUCUGACAAACAAAAGGGCUUAAUACUAGCCUUUGAAAAGGUGCUACCUAAUUGUAAUCAUCGGUUCUUUGUUAGGCACUUAUACACCAACUAUAAGGCAUAUGGGUUUAAAGGGAAAGGAUUAAAGGAUGCUUUAUAUAAUGUUGCCAAGGCAAUAACCAUCGCUGAUUUUAGAGAGAGUGGUUGAGGUGAAUAGGUUGUGAAGGAAAUUUUGUGAAAAACAUGUUCAUUUGAGGAACAUCUAUGGCAUGCAAUUAGCAUUUAAAGGCGGAAUCAUGCUUGUAUGCACUCAAAAAUAAAACAUUACCCAUGAAAUUCAAAGCCUAGUAGAAAGGUGAACCAAGACUCAACUCAAGAACAAAGUAAGUUGAGAGGUUUUAUACCUUUGUUGAUACCUCUUUGCAUAAGCAAAGGCUAAUCACCCAAGGAGAGGGCCUUCAUUCCUUGCUUCUUAGAUCCAUGGAUUUCUUGGAUGAGGAUGGUUGAAAGGAUUCUCCAAGUUCCCAAAGUUGAGAACCUCUAAUGUUUCCACACCAAGGAUGGACUUGAAGAAGAGAUAAGUGACCUUGGAGGAGGAAAGAUUGCUAGCUAAUCUCCUUAAAGGGGCCGGCCUUCUAGAGAGAAAGGGAGAGACAUGUGCUCUCCAAUUUUCUCCAAAAGAAAACCCUAAGGAUGAAAUGUCUAAAAAGUUGCCUUUAUACCACCUCACAAUGGAGUGGCAAACUUGCAAUUAAGCCAAGUUCACUACCCCUCUCUAUAUGGCCGGCCAUUAAGGGUUCAUCGGGCUUUCAUGCCCUUUGUGUUUUCAAAUUGUCAUAUGAUAGGAGCAUAUUUAUGCAACUUAGUUAGCUUGUUUCUUGGCAUUUACUUAAUUUAAUUCUAGUUAUUUUAGUACUUUAAGAUAUUUUCGUGUGUUUGUAGGUUCAAAUAACAAAGUUAGCAACAAAGUGCUAUUUGGAGCAUUUUGGAGCAUUUUUGGGCCAAGAUUGGAUAAUGCAAGCAUGGAGACAUGAGGGUGGACGUUUUUGAAGAUUUGAAGGCUAAAAAUCAGCAUGUGUGUGUACAAGUGUGUUGACCUACAACUCCAAACAUCCAUCCACUACACCCAUUAUAUCCACUCAUUACCACAACACUCACCCACUACACCCAUUACAUCCACUCAUUACCAAACACUCAUCCACUACACCCAUUACAUCCACUCAUUACCAAACAUCCACCCACUACACCCAUUACAUCCACUCAUUACCACAACACUCACCCACUACACCCCAUUACAUCCAUUCAUUACCAAACACUCAUCCACUACACCCAUUACAUCAACUCAUUACCAAACACUCAUCCACUACACCCAUUACAUCCACUCACUACCAAACAUCCACCCACUACACCCAUUACAUCCACUCAUUACCACAACACUCACCCACUACACCCAUUACAUCCACUCAUUACAACUCCAUACACUCAUCUCCCUAGCCUAUAAAUACAUCCACCCUUCACCAUAAUUUGGGGGAGAAAACCAAGGAGAACAUAAUCCACCCAUCCACCCUUCACCAUAACAACCAAGGAGAACAUAAUCCACCCAUCUACCCUUCACCAUAACUCACCUAUAUCCAUCCCCCACCAUAAUUUACCACUCAUCCAUCAAACCACACCCAGUGCCGCAACAAAGAGAAGAAGGAAGACCCUUGGACGUGCUUGCCAUUCAAGUUGGAUUGUUGGAGCGUUUUUAGGUGUUUUCUUUCUUUUGUUUUCAAUGUCUAAAUUUGUUUAUCUUUACUUUGUAAGUAUGACAAACUAAACCCCCCUUAGCUAGGGGGGAAUUCAAAACCAUGUUCAUGCUUGCAAUAUGAUUUGAUUACUUUCAGUUGUGAUUCAUAAGUUGUGAAUUCAAUUUACUUAUCCAUUUGAAUUAAAACUGAUUUGUGUAUGUUGGUUAAGAGUGCACGCUUAAUUUCCAUGCAUAAAUAUGCUGCUAGGAUAUAAGGGAGUUUCACCUAAUCGUUAUGAACUUAUAUUCACAAGUAGUAAAGGGUGUUCGUCACAACCGUGUUAAGUAAAUUCUUGGCAUAAGUUUCAUGCAAUUCAUAGUUACAAGUGUUUCGUCAAUGCUUAUGAUUUUCAUAGAACUUAAUGAUUCUUGCUUGUAUCUCUAUUAUGCAAUUCAUGUAGGGAACUUGUGGGGAAUGCUUUGGGUUGUUGUAUGCAAUCAUCCAAUUCAAUGAAAUUAGGAAAAUCUGAGGAUUAAUUUAAGCGUACCUGAUUAAUCUGGGGUGUUGAGGUUCAUGGUUUAUUGAAAAGCAACUGGAAAUCGUUUUAUAUGCAAGUGUGUCAUGUGGGGAGAAAGACCCUCUAGCUAGCCCAUUAUCCAUAGUUUAACCCAUCACCAAUCAAUUCACCUAAAGUUGUCUAAGAAUCUGUUUAAAUUAUUCUUGCUUUGUUUUCUUUAUUUUCGUCCAAAACCAAAAUCCCCUUAUUUUAUUAAAGUCAUAUUAGUUAGUACUUGUUUUAGAUUGUGUUUUUAAGUGUUUUAAGUCAAGAUAAAAUCAAUUUUUGUCCAAACUUAGUGUUAGUGGUAGAAAUUGCCUUAGAGUUGUUUUUAGUCAAGAGGGAGCCUUCACAAAGGCUGCUUAGGAGAAGUCUCAGUAGUCAGCGGAGCCUCAGCAGUCAACGGGGCCACAGAAGGAGGAGGUAUCGAAGGUUGAUCAUUUGGAGCUUCACUACGCGGUACAGCCCCAAAAGACGAAGGCAAAUGCUGUUGGAACAAACCCAUAAACCUCCGAUGAUCAAGUAAAAUCUGACCAUCAGAUUCCUGCAUCUGGUCAGUUUUCCUCUUCAUGUUUGUGGCAUAGUUGUGUGCGAGCUUGUGCAACUGUUUAUUCUCAUGCUUGAGCCCUCUAAUCUCCUGUUUGAGACUCAUCACUUCAGCCGCCAACGAUUUAACUUGACGGGUUCGAGCAAAUAGGCGUUGGGCCAUGUUGGACACAGAACCCGCACAUUGCACACUAAGAGCCAGAGACUCCUUAACAGCCAACUCAUCAGACCGUUUUGAAAGUAGUCUGUUAUCUUUAGAAGUGACAAGGUUCCUAGCCACCACCGCAGCUGUCAUAUCAUUCUUCAUCACCGAAUCCCCAACUGUAAGGGGACCAGUAGGGGAUAUGAAGGAUGGGCGCCAUAUGUUGUCUGGAGAAGGCGGGACUGCCUCUUCACCAAGGUUCAAGUCAAAACGACGGUCGGAGGGGCCAGACAUUUUCAGAGGUGUUAAAGAAAGAAGAGGUCGGAAACUCAAGAUCGUAGAAGUGCAAGAAGGGAGUUUUUACAGGCAGAAAUUCAAGUGUGCUUAGAACGUCCUGCGUACCUCUAUAAAAAACAGCACGCGAUGGGAUUUCAGAGAUCGAAAAGGCGAGCUCAGAAAUCGAAGAGGCCAACUCAAAAAUCAAAGAGGCGUUAGCUUUCUCAAAAGCUGGGCUUGCUUAGAAACCACGACCAGUCUUCUUUUCCAGAUUUGUCCGCACUUGUCACAUGCAACCUCUGCACUCAACGGGAUUUCAGAGAUCGAAGAGGCAAUUCCAGAUAUCGGAGAGGCAUCUGUUUUUCCAGACAUGUCAGCAUCUGUCACAUGCAAAGUAAGCUUUGCGAAAAUCACGGGCAGUUUGUCGAAGCACCGAUUCUAACCAUCUACUUUUCCAGACGUGUCAACAUCUAUCACAUGCAGAGUCAGCUUUACGGAAAUCACGGGCAGUUUGUCGAAACGCCGAUUCCAGAUAUCGAAGAGGCACUUGCUUUUCCAGACGUGUCAGCGCCUAUCACAUGCACACUCAGCUUUACGGAAAUCACGGGCAAUCUGUCGACGAUUUCUGGUGAAGUAGAAAGCAUGUGAAGUUUACUGUUCAAUCAUCCAAUGGUUGCCGAGAGGAGUGAAAGAACAGUACCGGUUAUUAUUUCCUAUAAAUGUCGACCUUCACUAUAUAGUUUACAAUAAACUUAGUGAACCAUUUGGAUAGGGACACAAAAGUGAAGUCCUUGCCUAGUUUCCAUCUCUAGAAGUGGUUUAACACUUCAACACUCAAUGAUUCAAAAUCAUCAUAAGUCCAUGUUGAUGAACUAUUUUUGUCAACCAACCAUUAUGUUCUAAACACAAUUACAAACUUUCAAGAGUUGUUCAAGGCAACUCUCAUUUCUUCAUACAACAAUUUGUAAGUGAAGAAUCAUGGCACAUAAAGUGUCCAUGCCCUUGUGCUUACUUCUCAAGUUCCUUGUUCAUGUAACAAAGAAACGAGCACUAAUGUUUGCGUUAACUAAGGGUUGUUCAAAGCAACUCUUACUUCUAUUAUGACAUUAAAAGUGUUGUCCUCUUUAUGAUAGACUUAUCUAACAUGUUCUUCCAAUGAUACAUUAUCAAUAGGAAGAUUGUGAGGAUGAGACUACUUAGGUACAUAUACAAGCCAUUAUAGACAAUCUAUGGGAUUGUAGUACCAAGUCCGGAAACUAAAGCUUUCGGCUUUUUCUUUGUCAAGUUUUGGAUAGCGUUUGCAAAUAUAUUGGUAAAUAAAUACAUAACGAAUAUAAAUUGAUUGAUUUUAAGCCAUUUGAUUCGGGUCUUUAAAUCAAAUAGCACCACCCACUAUUUUUGGCAAAUUCCAUAUCCCUCAUCGGAAUUCGAGAGUUUUGGAGGAAACUCUUAGUAGGGUAUGGGAGACUCAUCAUUACCAAGCCCACCUCACAAUGAUAUGAUGUUGGCUAGCAUCAAUAAUAAUGAGAGAGUACGCUUACUCAUUUGCAAUCUCUUGCAAGUACCCAUCUUAUUUGGCCUCUAGAGAAUGAAGCCUCACAAUGAUAUGAUGUUGGCUCCAUUGCACUUAGUUAAGUCAUUCCCACCAUGCAAGUUUGAGUAAGGGGUUCAAGAACAAGCCUCACAAUGAUAUGAUGUUGAUCAUUCUCGUUGCCUACCUUCACAACAUCAUGUAUGCAUAUAGAACUCCUCCUGAGUGUAAGCACGCACUUUGUACUCCCCCAUGAUAGGGUGAAGUCGGUGUACGAGUCACAAACGAUUCGGAGCCUACCACGGUGGAAGGCCACGAAAGAGUGUUCAAAGCACUCUCACGCUUAUCAACUUAAUAAUGGUUUGGUUGAGGGUUUUAGGUCUCAUCACAUAUAAACAUACAUUUUAAUCUAUUAAAACAAUUUUGGUCCUAUUACAACUAUUGGUCCAUGUGAUUGAUUUAGUUGUAUAUAAUACUCCCACUAUGCUUGUAAAACGGUUUUUAAAGCAAGAGUAUAUGGAUACUACUAACAUAAGGUUUGCAUUCAUUUGAUGGACUAUAUAGUUGCCUUAGGGCCUUAGGAUGACUAUGAACCUUUGAUUAGAUUCCAACACGAGCCUUAGUGUUGAAUCUCGGUCUAGGGAUGGUGAUUGAUUUUAGUUACGCGUUUAAUCACAUUAAGGCGUGUUUUGUCUUAGGGGCGUUGGACCCAACUACUUCCAUUUUCAUGCAUAUCAAAUAAAAGCAAGAAAGAAGUACUUCAAAGUAAAAGAAGAGCUUAUGCUCUUUUACAACAUUUGCAUCAAAACAAAUUACUUUAAAGUAAAGAAGAGCUUAUGCUCCUUUUACAACAUUUGAUCAAAUCAAAUUACAACCAAAAUCUAAUCUACACAUUCCCAUGGUUCAAACAAAUUUGAAACGGCCUUUCACAUAGCUCAAUUAUCGUAGGCUUAGGUUCAUAAUCACCCCUUUAAUUAAUUAACACUUUAACUAAUUAAAUUGAAUGCAACAUUUUCAUUUGGUUUUUGUAUCCAUAAGAAUUGAUUUAAAUGGAGCUAAAUGAAAUGAAAAUCCAAUUCUCAUUUAAAGAGACAAAACAAUUUUGUUCUCAAACUAAUUUGGGCCAAAUGCAAUAACCUCAACUUUUUGGGCUAUAUUGCAAAACACAAACUUUUGGGGUCACUUUGUAAAAACACAAAAGUCCACUACUUCAUGUAAUUACAACUAGAACCCAAAAAUUUCAAUCAAAUGCAAAAACUUCAUUAAAGGAGCAAAACAAUUUGUCCUUUAGCGUUUUUGGCCUUAAACGUAAAAACGUAAACUUUUGGGUCAAAGUACAAAUACACAAAAGUAUCAAAACUUUAUGUAAUUGCAUAAAAGCCCCAAAAGUACCCUUACAUGUAGGGUGGCCGGUUUUGGUAGUGUGAGGAGUGGUUUUUUGAUAAAAAACAAAGUCAUAAAGUCAUGCAAGUUGAAAAGAUGGGUGAUGGGUUGGUGUGAAAAAGUAGGUAUUAGGUGUGUAAGAAAAAAAGUACCAAUCAUGUACAAAAAAAUUCAAACACUCUAUCAACAUUUCAAUCACCUUUUCAAAUAAAUGUCUUGUUUAUAGAAAAGUCACACCAAACCAACACAAAACAAAGACUUUAUGAAAUCAAUCAAAACUUUGAAUCAAAAACACCAAACUUUUUGUUCUUGGCAAGAAACAUCAAGAACAAUGAAGAACACACAUGAAAACUCAUAAGAGCUUCCAUGAACAUUUUUCACCAAUAAAAUUUCAAAAUUUCACUACUCAAAAGGGGUUAACAUCCUAGGGUACUUAGGGGUUCCAAAAGUCACCUUUAAAACACUUUUAACAAGACAAACAAGAACCCAAAAAUCCACCCUUUGGAUUUGGCCGAAUUUCCCCAAAACAUGGCACCAAAUUUUAGCUCCAAUAUUCAUGCUCAUAUGAACUACAUCUACAACAUUUGAGAUGGCAAAUUUUCUAACAAAAAUUUACAUUCAAAGAAGCAAGAAUAAAGCUUGUAACAAUUACAACUUUUAAAUCAUAAACUAUGAAAUUACAAAACCCAAAAGGAUUCACCAACUACUAGACCUAGGCUCUAAUACCACUUGAAGGAAAUUUUGUGAAAAACAUGUUCAUUUUGAGCAACAUCUAUGGCAUGCAAUUAAAGGCGGAAUCAUGCUUGUAUGCACUCAAAAACAAAACAUUACCCAUGAAAUUCAAAGCCUAGUAGAAUUGGUGAACCAAGACUCAACUCAAAACAAAGUGAGUCGAGAGGUUUUAUACCUUUGUUGAUUCCUCUUUGCAUAAGCAAAGGCUAAUCACCCAAG